GACGAACGCUGGCGGCGUGCUUAACACAUGCAAGUCGAACGGAAAGGCCUGCUUUCCCUUGUGGAUUGCGGGUACUCGAGUGGCGAACGGGUGAGUAACACGUGAGUGAUCUGCCCCCAACUUGGGUAUAAGCCUGGGAAACUGGGUCUAAUUCCCGAUAGGACUGCAGGGUGGUGCCUGUGGUGGAAAACGAUUUUCUAGUGGUUGGGGAUGAGCUCGCGGCCUAUCAGCUUGUUGGUGGGGUAAUGGCCUACCAAGGCGGCGACGGGUAGCCGGCCUGAGAGGGUGGACGGCAACAUUGGGACUGAGAUACGGCCCAGACUCCGACGGGAGGCAGCAGUGGGGAAUAUUGCACAAUGGGCGGAAGCCUGAGGCAGCGACGCCGCGUGGGGGAUGACGGCCUUCGGGUUGUAAACUCCUUUCGACCGCGAGGAAGCCACCUGGUUGGAAGGGUGGUGACGGUAGUGGUAGAAGAAGCACCGGCUAACUACGUG
RNAcentral lists this ribosomal RNA (494 nucleotides) under uncultured bacterium. RNAcentral describes it as "partial 16S ribosomal RNA". It matches the Rfam family "Bacterial small subunit ribosomal RNA", at positions 28 to 507 of the family's 1533-position model. The record is from RNAcentral.